AUACGUAGGGGGCGAGCGUUGUCCGGAAUGAUUGGGCGUAAAGGGCGCGUAGGCGGCCUGUUAAGUCUGGAGUGAAAUUCCUGCUUUCAAGGUAGGAAGUGCUUUGGAAACUGGCGGGCUGGAGUGCAGGAGAGGUUAGCGGAAUUCCCGGUGUAGCGGUGAAAUGCGUAGAGAUCGGGAGGAACACCAGUGGCGAAGGCGGCUAACUGGACUGUAACUGACGCUGAGGCGCGAAAGUGUGGGGAGCAAACAGGAUUAGAUACCCUGGUAGUCCACACGGUAAACGAUGAAUGCUAGGUGUAGGGGGUAUCGACCCCUUCUGUGCCGGAGUAAACACAAUAAGCAUUCCGCCUGGGGAGUACGGCCGCAAGGUUGAA
RNAcentral lists this ribosomal RNA (377 nucleotides) under uncultured bacterium. Its description in RNAcentral is "bacterial SSU rRNA". It matches the Rfam family "Bacterial small subunit ribosomal RNA", at positions 523 to 898 of the family's 1533-position model. The record is from RNAcentral.